AUGGUGGCGGCGGUUCGGUGCGCGGCGAGGAGGCUCGGUGGCUCCCUGCUCCAGCGAACGCAGGCGGCGGUCGCGGAUGAGGGACGCGGGCUCGCGCCAAGCAGGCUCAUGCGCUCCCGCCAGCUCUCCACCAAGCCAACAACGCAGGCGGCGGUCGCUGAUGAGGGACGCAGGCUCGUGCCAAGCAGGUUCAUGCGCUCCCGCCAGCUCUCCACCAAGCAUGCUGCAGACUCUACACGCCAGAUCCAGCACAAGGAGGAGGAGCUGUCUGGUGUGCUGUCUAAGGCUAACGGGCAGCAUCUUUCUGCACAAGCCGCUCAAAGUCCAGUCGAGCCUCGUCAUACAGGCCGUCGCCGUUAUCGCUGUCGUCGCUGCUGCUGCUGCUGUCGUCGAGGGGCACCACGGGCACGGCCGGCGCAGCCAUCGAGUCCUCGAGCGCGGCGUGGUACCCGGGAAAGUCCUCCGGGUCCUCCGGGUGAACGGCGCCCGGGGCGACCUGAAGGUACUCCUGAACGAGCGGCGGCGGCUGCGGCAUGUUCUCCGACUCACGGAGCGCUGUCAGGUAGCCCGGCAUGUCGUCCGGGUCGCCGGCCUCCGCCGCCAGCUGCCUGUACUCCGCCACCAAUGCCGGCUCUGGCGGCUGCUGCGGCUCGGGCGGAGGGGCGCGGCUGGACCCUGCGCCGUUCCUGCCCGCCAUACGGCGAUCGCCGGGGCCGAGGCGGACAGCGCCGCGGUCACCGCCUCGGCCUCCGCGGGGCAGGGGCGGGUGCAUGGCGCCGAAGUCGAGGCGGGCGCGGGUCGAGCGCGCCUCGCCGCGGCGGUACAGCUGAGAGCUGUCCCCCGGCGGAGCAGGCACGACGCCGGCGACCGCCUACACGCGGUACAGCGCGACCACCUCCUCGAAGGAGGGGUUGUACCGAAGAAGAAGUGGAGGAUGAUGUGGUUGUGUGCGUGCAGAGGGCGGCCAUGCCGUGGGCGGCGCGCCUCCUGUCCGUGGCCUGCGUCUCCGUGGCGGCCAAGAUGGAGGAGUACUGCGCGCCGGCGCUGUCGGAGCUCGACGCCGGCGGCGGCUACGAGUUCUGCUUCGCCUCCGUCCGCCGGAUGGAGCUGCUCGUGCUGUCCACGCUCGGCUGGCGCAUGGCCGCCGUUACGCCGUUCGACUACCUCCCUUGCUUCUCCUCCCGGCUCGACCGGCACGACGGUCGCGGCGGCGGCGGCCUUGACCCCGCCGGCGUCGCCCUCAAGUCCAUCGGCUCCAUCUGUGCCACAGCCGAAGCCGGCAGUGUGCUGGAUUACAUGCCAUCUACUGCGGCUGCAGCUGCAAUCUUGGUUGCAUCAUAUGAAGCUCUACUGACCAAAGAAGCACUGGAGUCCAAGAUGGACAAUCUAUCUCCAUCAUGCCCCAUUGAGAAGGUUUCUUGCACAAACUAA
RNAcentral lists this ribosomal RNA (1431 nucleotides) under Triticum aestivum (bread wheat). RNAcentral describes it as "partial small subunit ribosomal RNA". The record is from RNAcentral. Lineage: Eukaryota; Viridiplantae; Streptophyta; Magnoliopsida; Poales; Poaceae.